This 3420-nucleotide long non-coding RNA is filed under the name Nothobranchius furzeri (turquoise killifish). Its description in RNAcentral is "lncRNA (ENSNFUG00015024749.1)". Lineage: Eukaryota; Metazoa; Chordata; Actinopteri; Cyprinodontiformes; Nothobranchiidae. The record is from RNAcentral.
AUGGUUGGAGAGGAACCAGAGAGGUCAGAGGCUGCCCACCCUGAGAGUGAGGAGGAAGAUGUAGGCUGUGAGGGAGAGAGUCAGGAGCAAAAAGAGGGACAUCUUCUGUCAUGUGCACCGUGUGCACUACCGUCAGAUAUCAGCAAGUGCAAGGAUGACCCACCUACUCAGCCUCAUUUGAGGACAUUUCCAGUGACAUUAAUAGGAGACAGAAGAUGCAGCUUUCAGCCAAGCUGGUAUGAAAGUCAUCCUUGGGUUGAAUAUUCUGUUACUAUGGACUCUACUUAUUGUCAUGCAUGCAGACAUUUUAGCCCACCAAGUAGCGCAGGAAGUGUGUUUGACUCACCAUGUGGAUUUAGGAACUGGAAAAAAGCAACUGAGAGAGGAGGGGUUUUCAGUACAUGCAAAGUCUUAAAGGCAUAAGGAUUCAAUGAUAGCGUGGAGGGACUACCAGAGGGCUGUGGAAGCUAAUACAACAUUGGCUAAUAUACUCGACAAGGAACACAGUAAAAGGUUAAAGAAAAUCGUGAGUAUAUCAAAACAAUUGGUGAAGUGAUUAUGCUUACGUGUGUGUGUGUGUGUGUGUGUGUGUGUGUGUGUGUGUGUGUUGACUACAAAAAGCAAAUUGUAUUGUGCAGAUAUUUUAUUUGUUUGAAUGUUUAUUUUUCAUAUGUACAGUUCAUAUAAUCUUCAAAUAAAGUCACAAACUAUAAUAAUCAACUAGAAUUGUUUUUUUACUCAAGUCUCAUGUUACUGUGAAGCAUUCAGAAUUGUUAUCUGAGUACCAUAAAAACAUGCCAGUUUUACUUUCACAAGUAAACCAUUACUGCAUUUGCUGUAAUAGUUUACUUGUUCAUUGUCUUUAAUUAUGAUUUUUUUUCUUGCGCCCCCAUGAAAAAAUACUGGCCCCACUGUGGCCCCCCUGGAAAAUUUGUUCUAGAACCGCCCCUGCUCGGGACAAUCUGUCUUCUCGUUCUUCCCAUGUUAUAUGUUAACAGCUGGAUUCCAGAUCCAGACGGGAACAUUUGUGUGUUUUGUGCUCUAUGACCAAACGAUUAAGUUCAUGAAGUUUAAUGAAAUAUUAAACUAUUACUACAAAGCUGGUUGUAAAUCAUCAGAUGUUCGUGUUAUCAUAAAAACACAAUAAUGUUCCUCAGAGAGACACUUUGUAUUUACAUUCAUUCGUCAUUUUAGCCACUAUUUUAUUCUGUAAAAGCUGUGAAUACACACAUAGGAGCUACCUAAGAGCACAGGGGAAUAACUGUUCAGUCUGAACUCUGAUGUCACUAGAAUCACAUUAACCCUUCCGCUGUCUUUAUGGGUGACCCCCUGAGGAAAGUUGACCAUUGAGCAUUGGACCAUUGGUUUAUCCCUUGGAUCCGCGUGGCAGGGGUGAGGAGUGAGCACCACCUCACCCCUGCCACGUGGAUCCAAGGGAUAAACCAUCAACCCUGCUCAAUGGUCAACUUUCCUCGGAGGGUCACCCAUAAAGACAGCGGAAGGGUUAAUGUGAUUUUAUUAGUGAAGCACACGGGGAUGUUCUUCUGUGGUAUGUAACUGUUACAUACUAACAUGACUGGAGACAAACGCAGUAACAGGUGUGUAAGUGUUUAACAGAUUUAGAUUGAGAAUGACUGCGACGGCACUUCAGCGCAGACAAAGUUAAGUUCAAGUCAAAGUGUCCAGAAAAAGUUUAAAUGCUUAAAACAUGUCGAAAUUUCCAGAUUUAAGACAAACUGCUGUAGUAAAUGGUGCAAGAAGUAAGCCCAAUGGAUGCGUUAAAAGUAGUAAAUAGAUUUAAAAAGACAAACUCGUUAGAUUUUCAAGAGAUAGACGCGUCUCUCAUCGUCUGGCUCCUAAGAAAUGAAAAUAGCAAAAGUUAUUCCUAAUUAGGAAAGUGCUGAUAAGCAAUAAGCUUGCAACUACAGACCUACCUCUUUACUAGCGCAGCUCUCAAAGACACUAGAGAAACUUUUUGUAAUUAGACGAGAAGCAUGUAUCAACAAGUCCGACCUUUUAAAUGACCAUCAGUAUGGGUUUAGGAAGAAUCGUUCAACUUUACUGGCAGUUAUGAAACUAGCAGCACGUACUGCAUCAGCAGCUGACCCAAAACGGAUUUGAGCAAGGCAUUUUACAGACCUGUGUAUCUCAUGAACCUGUAGAUGUAUAACCCAAUGAGUUGUGUGAAGAAAUUAACUGAUACAACUCACCAUACACACCUGCUCCAAAAAUGCAAACAUUAUGUAGCCUAGUGAACUAGACCAAAUUAUUGCUUUGUAAAGUUUGGUCUAGGCAUGCUCCAUUGGAACCUCCACAGCUCCUACCAGGACUCUGGCUAGCCAAUCACAGCUCUCUAGAGGGGUUUCAAACACAUAAAGAGCUGUGAUUGGUCCAUAAUGGUGGGCCAAUCAUAGUGCUCUAUCUGCUGAGUGAACAAAUCACAGAGCUUUAUCUGCUUUGUGGGCCAAUCAGGGCACUCUAUAUGCCUGGUGGGUGGGAUGAUGCAACAGAGUGAAACAAGAGUAUGUCACAUUCUUUGUCCAGUGGAAUGCGGAGAUCAUUUGAAAGACAACGGUAGAACCCGCCCCACAACCGAGAGCCGUCAAUGGAGCGUGGCCAGACUAAAUAAUACAUUUAUUUAGUCUGGCUUGCCAGGCUAAACAUUAUGGCCUUUGUGGAAAAACAAAUCAAUGGCUUCCAAGUUAUGUCAGGUGUCCAAAGACGUUGCUAUACUCUAGAAAACAAAGGAUGUCAUUUAAAAAAUAGUUUUUUUUUUCAUUUGCUGUUUUUUCAGUUCUGCCUUAUUUGUCACAUUGUGCUGAAAUCUGGGGAGAAUAUGCACAAAGACUCUAUUUAAAUGACAAAAAAAGGCCAUUAGAAUUGUUAAAGUGGGACAACGUACACCAUCGUCUCUCAAUCCUCGUCCUGUAGGACAGUUAUCCAGCAGGUUUUAGUUGUUUCUCUGCUUUAACACACUCGAUUCUGUUGAUUUGUCUUGUGUUUACCUCCAGAAGUGUUUUCUACAGCCCUGUAGAUCAUAGACACGUGAACAAUCCAUUAAACUGUAAUCACAGGAACAUCAAGCUACUAGUAGAUGGUCUUCUAGCCUUUGGAUACUUCAAGGUGGUCUUCCAGCCAGAAACGUGGCAUUAGAGACUCCAGCAACCAUGGUCAAGUGUUUACCUGGGGACAUCUUACCUGAAACUGCUGGCUAAGGAGAAGCGUAAAUACAGUAAUGUCACUUCCCCAUUGACAUUGGAUGUGCUACUACUAGUUUACCCAUUUAGUUAUAGAUUCACUAGGAUAAAUACAAUAAAGUUUGUCUCUCACUAAAUAGAAUAUUUACUAAGAAAUCACAAUGUAACCAUAGAAACACUACUUGGUGUGUGUGUGUGUGUGUGUGUGCGCGCGCGUGUGUGU